UUUUUAAAUAAAAAAUAUUAAUUAUAUUUAAUGGGGGUUAAAGUAUAUUAAUAGAAAAAAUUUUUAAAUUUAUAGAGAAAUAGUAUUGUAAAAGAAUUUUGAAAUAAAUGAAAAUUAAUUUAAUUAAAAGUAAUUUUUAUUUAAUGUAUCUUGUGUAUCAGAGUUUAUUAAAAAAAAUUUUUUGAAAGAGAAAUUCUCGAAUUUAAGAGAGAUAAUUAAUUAUAAAAGUUAUUGUUACAUAAAUAUUUUAAAUAAUUAAUUGGAAAUGAAAUGUUAAUCGUUCUUAAAUAUAUCUAGUUUUUUUAGAAAAAAAUUUAAUUUUAAAUUUAUUAAUUAAUAAAUUAAUUAAUUAAUUUAUUAAUUAAUAAAUUUUAUAUUUUAAGGGAUAAGCUUUAAUUUAAAUAAUAUAUAAUUAAAAUUAAAUAAUUUUUGAAAAUUAUAUAAUUUAUAUUGUUAAUAAAUUUUAAUUUAUUAUAAAUAAUUUCAAAAUUAAAUAAAAUUUAAUAAAAAUUUAUUUUUAUAUAAAAAAAUAAUUUUAAAUAAAAUUAAAUUAGUUAUAAUGAUAAAAUUAGUAUAUGGAAAUAAUUUAAUUUAAUAAAAAUUAUUUAAGUUAAUUAUUUUUAAGGAAUUCGGCAAAAAUUUAUAUUCACUUGUUUAUCAAAAACAUGUCUUUUUGAAAAUAAUAUAAAGUCUAAUCUGCCCACUGAUUUUAUAUUGAAGGGCUGCAGUAUUUUGACUGUACAAAGGUAGCAUAAUCAUUAGUCAUUUAAUUGAUGACUUGUAUGAAGGAUUGGAUGAAAUAUAAACUGUCUUAAAAGUAAAUUAUAGAAUUUAAUUUUUUAAUUAAAAAGUUAAAAUGAUCUAAAAAGACGAGAAGACCCUAUAGAGUUUUAUAGAUUUUUAAAUUAAAAUUAUUUAUAAAUAAAAAAUUUUUAAUUAAAAAAUUUAUUUUGUUGGGGUGAUAAAAAAAUAUAAAAAACUUUUUUUAAUUAUAAACAUAAAUAAGUGAAAAAAUGAUCCAGUUUUAUUGAUUAAAAGAAAAAAUUACCUUAGGGAUAACAGCGUAAUUUUUUUUUUUAGUUCAAAUAAGAAAAAAAGUUUGCGACCUCGAUGUUGGAUUAAGAUAAAAUUUAAAUGCAGAAGUUUAAAAUUUUGAUCUGUUCGAUCAUUAAAAUCUUACAUGAUCUGAGUUCAAACCGGUGUGAGCCAGGUUGGUUUCUAUCUUUUAAAAAAUAAAAUAUUUUAGUACGAAAGGAUCAAAUAUUUAAAUUAAAUUUAAAAAAGAAUUGAUUAUUAUUAAUU
Molecule: ribosomal RNA, 1302 nt
Filed under: Psimada quadripennis
Lineage: Eukaryota; Metazoa; Arthropoda; Insecta; Lepidoptera; Erebidae
Description: 16S ribosomal RNA
Source: RNAcentral